CUUUGACGCACAAAGGUGUACUUCUCCUCCCGGCUCAAGACCCAAGCCAUAAGAUUUCUUCUCUUUUCUGCUGUGUUUCUCUUCGCCGCUCGCAACCUUCUCUCUUAAAGUGCAGCAUGUAUUUUAAUUUCAGAGAACCAAAAACCAAAUAGAUGACCUCCAUUAUUGUUAUUUGUAGCGUCACGUAUGUUGUCGCACUAGUGUGACGCCACACUAGGCAUUUGGUGUAAACCACGCAAGCCUCCAGGCGUUCCAACUUGCAGUGGAAACGCUUGCCUGAAUAGGCUGGACCAUUCAAAACCUUCCAAACUGUACUGACCCGAACCGAUCAGCUCAGUGGAAACGAGGCCUAAGUGUACAUAGAACAGUUUAUCUUCUUAGCAUUUGCUGUUUGAUGGUUAAUAUUGCAAGAAGUUAUUCCC
Molecule: non-coding RNA, 422 nt
Organism: Pelobates cultripes (western spadefoot toad)
Lineage: Eukaryota; Metazoa; Chordata; Amphibia; Anura; Pelobatidae
Source: the annotation of a GenBank genome assembly